Molecule: long non-coding RNA, 1775 nt
Organism: Xenopus laevis (African clawed frog)
Lineage: Eukaryota; Metazoa; Chordata; Amphibia; Anura; Pipidae
Exons: 3
Source: RefSeq, a predicted model, not a curated record
GGGAGGAAAGCACAAGUGCUGUAGCCCCAAAAUGUUUGAUGCUUUUAUUUAUGUUUUUCAUUAAUUAUAUAGGUGUCACCAGAUGUGUUUUCCCUUCAACUCAGGGAAGUUUUUUCCAUGAUUCCAUUUCUCUAAGUUCGGCACAAUGGGAAGGAAUGAACGGUUAUUGGUUACUGAGGGUCUUCAGAGUGUAUGGGUGCAGGGAUAGUUGCAAUUGGUCGGAAAGGAUUCAAUGGGAGUGUUUUGGGCCAAACUAAGAAUGUGGAUUCUGACUGAUGGAGAUCAACCAAUCCCCUUUGUCUGUUGAGGAAACCCAACCAGACCCUCGUACUGGAGUCUCCAGACAAUCACAAGAAAGAUGUUCCCCCAAAGUGAGAUGCACUGCCUUUGGUGUUAAGGCCAAUAAUAAUUAUAUUUUGGGUUCACAUUUAUCUGUUGAAGAAACACAACCAAACCCCUAUUCUGGAGUCUCCAGACAGUCACAAGAAAGAUGUUCCCACAAAGUGAGACGCACAGCCUUUGGUGGUGAGGCCAGCAAUAAUAUUUUGGGUACACGUGUAUCUAUUGAAGAAACACAACUAGAGACCCAUUCUGGAUUCUUCAGAACAUUCAUAGGAAAGCCAUUCCCACAAAUGAGAUGCACAGCCUUUGGUGUUAAGGCCAAUAAUAAUUACCUUUUGGGAUCAAAUUUAUCUGUUGAAGAAACACAACCAAACCCCCAUUGUGGAGUCUUCAGACAAUAACCAAAAAUGAAGUGCACAGCCUUUGUUGAUGAGCCAAAUAAGCAUAUUGUAGAGACGCGUUUGUCUGUUGAAGAAACCAAACCAGACUCCUGUACUUGAGUCUCCAGAUAACCACAAGAAAUCUGUUCCCAUAAAAUGAGUUUGUAUAUUUUGGGGUAUGCGUAUCCCCCAUAGUGGAGCCACCAGGCAACCUCAAGUAAGCAUUUCCCACAAAAUAAGAAGCACUGUUUGUGUUGAUGUGAAUAAGAAUUAAGAAUAUUUAUGAUACGCAUUAGUGAUGUGCGGGUUGGGGUUAUUCUUGACCCGCACCUGACUCAAACCCAAUCUGAGCCCGCCUGCACCCACCUCCUCCCAUCUAUUUAUAGGCUCUACCCCACCAAUAAUGUCACAAAAGGGGCGGAGUGUGGUUGUGCGCGCCUAUAAAAACAGAAGCUGGAAGCCGGCAAAAGUAAGUGCUGAGGACGACCCAAACCUGCCUGACCCAUGGGUAAACCCGUAGGUGUCGAUUCAGCCUGCACAUCACUAGUACAUAUUUAUUUAAUCUACUUUGAUUGCGAUACAUACACAUGCCUGUUGAAGAAACACAAGCAGAUCCAGGUACUGAAGUUCCAUUGCAAGAAAACCUCUUCUCUACAUUCACAACUCUUUCUAUUGGGAUAUGCCAUACAACUGGCCUCAAAGCAGGUGCUUAUUUUUGAAUUCCAGGCUUGGAUACAAUAUUUGAUUGCAUAAAAACAGAGCCUCUUGUAGCUGCCAGUCCACAUAGGGGCUACCAAUAGUCAAUAUAGACAUUAUUUGGUACCCCUUGGAACUUUUUGCAUGUUUGUGUUGCUCUCCACGGGUGGCUUACGGGUAAAAAAAGACUGGGGAUCACUGCUCAAGGGUCUCAUCUUACAGACCAUUACCUUGAAACUCCACUCGUAGUAUUUUUCUGAAUGUGUUCUACUUUCAAAAAGAGGCAAUUUCUUAAGGGUUGUUCACCUUUGAAUUAAAUUUUAGUAUGAUGUAUUGAGUGAUAUUCUUAGACAAUUU